UCCAAAUCGAGUGAUUCAAAGUUCUCCAGAUAGGUAUUGAAAAGAUAUACAACUUGGCGUUGGUCUCAUCCUCAAAUUCGUUACGUAUUUGCCGUGAUCAAGAUCUGGUCAGAUCUAACUUUGUCGAAUUAAACCAGGAGCUUGGAGAAGAAUUUUUGAAUGAACCCAAUGGGGACUGCUGAAUGUUUUCUUAAUCAUAUCAGACAAGUUUCAAACAUUUAUCUAUUGUGUAAAUCCAGAGAGAAAGCAAAUGGUACAGACAUGCAGUAAACUUGUAAAUCCAUUUGUGAGAGUUUCAGAAACAAUUUGAACCCAAAUCCAAUUGUUUAUGCAUCUCUGUUUAAUUACCUUUCAAAUGCAAGUGGACCCAUAUUUUUAGGAUUUUUCUACGAUUUAUGGCUUACAGAUCUUGUUUUCUGUACAGUCAGAUUCAAAGAAAUUCCUAAAAUUGUAGGUUUAAUAUUUUUGGGUGAUUCCAAUUGGGUUAGUCUUGUAUUAGUACUGGCUAUCUAGAAAAAAUAUUAUUAGUCUCUGUUCAUACA
Long non-coding RNA from Lolium perenne, 542 nucleotides. RefSeq lists it as uncharacterized. The record is from RefSeq and is a predicted model, not a curated record. Lineage: Eukaryota; Viridiplantae; Streptophyta; Magnoliopsida; Poales; Poaceae.